Molecule: unclassified non-coding RNA, 341 nt
Filed under: soil metagenome
Description: partial contains 5.8S ribosomal RNA, internal transcribed spacer 2, and large subunit ribosomal RNA
Rfam family: 5.8S ribosomal RNA (bases 1-120)
Source: RNAcentral
GAUGAAGAACGCAGCGAAAUGCGAUACGUAAUGUGAAUUGCAGAAUUCAGUGAAUCAUCGAGACUUUGAACGCACAUUGCGCCCCCUGGUAUUCCGGGGGGCAUGCCUGUCCGAGCGUCAUUGCUGCCCUCAAGCACGGCUUGUGUGUUGGGCUCCGUCCCCCCGGGGACGGGUCCGAAAGGCAGCGGCGGCACCGAGUCCGGUCCUCGAGCGUAUGGGGCUUUGUCACCCGCUCUGUAGGCCCGGCCGGCGCCAGCCGACAACCAAGCAUCCUUUUUUCAGGUUGACCUCGGAUCAGGUAGGGAUACCCGCUGAACUUAAGCAUAUCAAUAAGCGGAGGA